AAUAAGGCAAAUCCUGGGUUUUCGUGUCCAACUUUGACUGUCUGUCUUAUAUGAAAUCUUUUUAUAAUUCGUAUUUUCAUUGUUGUUAGAUGAUAAAACAUGAUUAAUAUUUUAUGCGUGACUUGUCUUUUUAAUUUUUUUCAUAUUUUUUUCAAAUAAGAUGGACGGUCAAACGUUGGGCACGGAAAUCAGGGUUUGUCUUUUU
Molecule: non-coding RNA, 205 nt
Organism: Oryza glumipatula
Lineage: Eukaryota; Viridiplantae; Streptophyta; Magnoliopsida; Poales; Poaceae
Source: Rfam